This 411-nucleotide ribosomal RNA is filed under the name uncultured Gammaproteobacteria bacterium. Its description in RNAcentral is "bacterial SSU rRNA". It matches the Rfam family "Bacterial small subunit ribosomal RNA", at positions 9 to 416 of the family's 1533-position model. The record is from RNAcentral. Lineage: Bacteria; Pseudomonadati; Pseudomonadota; Gammaproteobacteria.
GAGUUUGAUCAUGGCUCAGAGUGAACGCUGGCGGCAGGCCUAACACAUGCAAGUCGAACGGCAGCACAGCAGUAGCAAUACUGUGGGUGGCGAGUGGCGGACGGGUGAGGAAUACAUCGGAAUCUACCUUGUCGUGGGGGAUAACGUAGGGAAACUUACGCUAAUACCGCAUACGCACCACGGUGGAAAGCGGCGGACCGCAAGGCGUCGCGCGAUUGGAUGAGCCGAUGUCCGAUUAGCUAGUUGGCGGGGUAAAGGCCCACCAAGGCGACGAUCGGUAGCUGGUCUGAGAGGAUGAUCAGCCACACUGGAACUGAGACACGGUCCAGACUCCUACGGGAGGCAGCAGUGGGGAAUAUUGGACAAUGGGCGCAAGCCUGAUCCAGCCAUGCCGCGUGUGUGAAGAAGGCC